RNAcentral lists this long non-coding RNA (835 nucleotides) under Sus scrofa (pig). RNAcentral's name for it is "lncRNA (ENSSSCG00000043074.2, ENSSSCG00085026730.1, ENSSSCG00110016562.1)". The record is from RNAcentral. RNAcentral also lists the same sequence under 1 other name. Lineage: Eukaryota; Metazoa; Chordata; Mammalia; Artiodactyla; Suidae.
UCAGCACCCAAGUUCCCCCAGACACUCCUUUGCAAAGGCAGAGGGGUCCCAGGCCUGCCUGUGCAGAGGGCUGCCCCAGAGGCUGAAACCCAGUGAUUAAGAACCCCUGCUGGACCUGAAUAAAUACAAUGCCUUACAUACCAGAUGGACAACGUGGAUGCUGUUUUUCAUCUGCUGACAGUUAUCGCCGGGUUUUCCGGACGUGGACUGUCAGCCCGUGACUAAAGAAUAACCGGGGCGGGCCCGAGGGCGCGGCGAAGCCCUUGAGGUCUCUCAGGGUGAGCGCCCCUGGGUGGAGUUCCGAGGGGCCCGGGCGUAGGCGGCCGUCACCGCCGCGGCGAGCCGCGGAAUGUCCUGCCUGUGAGCUCCCUCGCCUGGACGCGAUGGAAGCCUGGCGGGGACCGGGGACCGCGCCGUCUUCCUGCCCGGGGGCGGGUGGGCGUAGUACCCGGCGCCGCGAUGGCGGUGGCGCUGUCGGGUCGCGCUCUCAACCCGCCCCGGGCUCCGGCGGGGUGGCGCCAGGCUGGAGGCCGUGGGAUUCCCGGACACCCUCCCCUUCCACAGUGGCUGGAGGAUUGAAGCCGAGACAGUGGCGAGAGGGGCGCACAGCCCAGCCCAUUCCCCAUCCCUGACGACUCCAGGACGAUCCCCUUCCCGGCUCCUUAUUCAUUCCCUGAGAUGCUCAAAGACCUGAUUUCCACUUUAACAUCCAAAUUUGGUGGGUUCUAGGAGGCCUGGGCUGGCUCAGUCCAGGGGCUGUUGACUCAUAUAACAACAGUAUCUGGCACACAGUAGGUAUGUGUGCAUCUGUUGAAUAAAUAAAAUAUUUGAACUG